CGUCUAGGCGGUCAGGCAAGUGGGAUGUGAAAUGCCCCGGCUCACCCGGGGACCGGCAUCUCAUACUGCUUGGCUUGAGUACGGGAGAGGAUGUGGGAAUUCCUGGUGUAGCGGUGAAAUGCGUAGAUAUCAGGAGGAACACCGGUGGCGAAGGCGCACAUCUGGCCCGAUACUGACGCUGAAGCGCGAAAGCUAGGGAGCAAACG
This 206-nucleotide ribosomal RNA is filed under the name uncultured bacterium. RNAcentral describes it as "partial 16S ribosomal RNA". It matches the Rfam family "Bacterial small subunit ribosomal RNA", at positions 568 to 774 of the family's 1533-position model. The record is from RNAcentral.